RNAcentral lists this ribosomal RNA (430 nucleotides) under Pseudomonadota bacterium. RNAcentral describes it as "Proteobacteria bacterium partial 16S ribosomal RNA". It matches the Rfam family "Bacterial small subunit ribosomal RNA", at positions 355 to 776 of the family's 1533-position model. Lineage: Bacteria; Pseudomonadati; Pseudomonadota. The record is from RNAcentral.
UGGGGAAUAUUGGACAAUGGGGGGAACCCUGAUCCAGCCAUGCCGCGUGUGUGAAGAAGGCCUUAUGGUUGUAAAGCACUUUAAGCGAGGAGGAGGGUACUGGUAUUAAUACUACCAGGUACUGGACGUUACUCGCAGAAUAAGCACCGGCUAACUCUGUGCCAGCAGCCGCGGUAAUACAGAGGGUGCGAGCGUUAAUCGGAUUUACUGGGCGUAAAGCGUGCGUAGGCGGCUAAUUGAGUCGGAUGUGAAAUCCCCGAGCUUAACUUGGGAAUUGCAUUCGAUACUGGGUAGCUAGAGUGUGGGAGAGGAUGGUAGAAUUCCAGGUGUAGCGGUGAAAUGCGUAGAGAUCUGGAGGAAUACCGAUGGCGAAGGCAGCCAUCUGGCCUAACACUGACGCUGAGGUACGAAAGCAUGGGGAGCAAACAGG